Molecule: ribosomal RNA, 478 nt
Filed under: uncultured bacterium
Lineage: Bacteria
Description: partial 16S ribosomal RNA
Rfam family: Bacterial small subunit ribosomal RNA
Source: RNAcentral
GACGAACGCUGGCGGCGUGCUUAACACAUGCAAGUCGAACGGUAAGGCCCUUCGGGGUACACGAGUGGCGAACGGGUGAGUAACACGUGGGUGAUCUGCCCUGCACUUCGGGAUAAGCCUGGGAAACUGGGUCUAAUACCGGAUAGGACCACUGCCUGCAUGGGUGGUGGUGGAAAGCUUUUGCGGUGUGGGAUGGGCCCGCGGCCUAUCAGCUUGUUGGUGGGGUGAUGGCCUAACAAGGCGACGACGGGUAGCCGGCCUGAGAGGGUGACCGGCCACACUGGGACUGAGAUACGGCCCAGACUCCGACGGGAGGCAGCAGUGGGGAAUAUUGCACAAUGGGCGCAAGCCUGAUGCAGCGACGCCGCGUGAGGGAGGACGGCCUUCGGGUUGUAAACCUCUUUCAGCACCGACGAAGCGCAAGUGACGGUAGGUGCAGAAGAAGGACCGGCCAACUACGUGCCAGCCGCCGCCGUAA